AGACCCCCUCAAUCCUUUCCCUCUCUGGUGAGCACCCUGGAUGGUCGGCCAGGACUCCCCAGGGUGAGACUGGAUGUUGAGAAGGCAGGAAAGCAGGAGGCCUGUUUAUGCAAUCAAGAGAGGGAGCAGCCUCCUUCGAUGGUAGGGAACACCUGUGCCUCUUGGCAUCUUGCCU
RNAcentral lists this unclassified non-coding RNA (175 nucleotides) under Mus musculus (house mouse). RNAcentral describes it as "noncoding RNA TB2336c.RT". The record is from RNAcentral. Lineage: Eukaryota; Metazoa; Chordata; Mammalia; Rodentia; Muridae.